This 253-nucleotide ribosomal RNA is filed under the name uncultured bacterium. RNAcentral's name for it is "partial 16S ribosomal RNA". It matches the Rfam family "Bacterial small subunit ribosomal RNA", at positions 524 to 776 of the family's 1533-position model. The record is from RNAcentral.
UACGGGGGGGGUAAGCGUUGUUCGGAAUUACUGGGCGUAAAGGGCUCGUAGGCGGCCAACUAAGUCAGACGUGAAAUCCCUCAGCUUAACUGGGGAACUGCGUCUGAUACUGGAUGGCUUGGAUUUGGGAGAGGGAUGCGGAAUUCCAGGUGUAGCGGUGAAAUGCGUAGAUAUCUGGAGGAACACCGGUGGCGAAGGCGGCAUCCUGGACCAAUAUUGACGCUGAGGCGCGAAAGCUAGGGGAGCAAACGGG